Non-coding RNA from Schizosaccharomyces pombe (fission yeast), 2780 nucleotides. The record is from the annotation of a GenBank genome assembly. Lineage: Eukaryota; Fungi; Ascomycota; Schizosaccharomycetes; Schizosaccharomycetales; Schizosaccharomycetaceae.
GAUGGAGUGAGUUCUGGAUAAGUGACAGCUGAGUAUAACGAUAAACAUCGUCGUACAGUUUAGCUUCCCUUUGAAACAAAAAUUUUAAGUAUGUGUAAUGGUGCUUAUUUAUCGAGGAAAAGGGUGAAUCUAUAAUAAAGAAUGGAUCGUUGGAAUGUAGAAAGUAGUCGAUACUUGAAAGUGAAAACAGAUGUUGAAAAAAUUAGUCGAUGUUUAAAUGUUUAAAAAUAAUAAUAAUAAUACUAAUACUAAUUUUAAUUCUUGUAUUUUGCUAGUUAAACUAGAAAACUGCCAACGAAAUACAAGCAUACAUACAUAUCUAUAUCUAUAUCUAUAUAUAGAUAUAGCUAUGUUCCUUUCCAGACACCAGUAGACUCGGUCUAUAUCGCCAGCAUUUCUUAGACUAGGAUUAGAAUGGGAUAAAAAUAUGAAAAAGGGAAUGCUGAGGAAGGAUGAAUAAGAGUCGUUAUAUGUUUUUCUUUACUGUUUACUUUUUCUUUUUUUCUUCUUCUUUUCUAGCUCGCCUUUGGCCCAAAUUAAGCUCAUUAACCUGAUGCUGUCAGAUAUGACUUGACACUCUCUGUGAUACUACAUAUGCAGACAAUUUCUGGACGAAACAUUAAAUUUUCCGAUCUUCAAUCAACGUUCCGAAAUGGUCUACAGAAAGAGUAACAACAAAUUGUAUGUAGCGUUGGAUAUGAAAAUGCACUGCGUGGCAUAGCAUACAAUACUCUUACAAAUGCGCUUGGCAAAGACGAUUCAAUUUAAGAUUGCUGUUAUGCUUACAGUAUAAACCAAAGCAGCAAGAAUGGAAUCCCCGUCCCGUAAAUUUUUUUUUCUUGGUAAUACGUUAAAAGUAUAACUUGGCAGACAUGUCGAAACCGAUCAUUUGUAAAUCAGCUUCUCUUAACUAUCUCUAGUGGAUGCAAUAGUAUGUUAAACUAACAAACACGAGUACAUUUGAAAGACUCAUAAACCAAAUUCGAUGAUGAUCCUUUUGUUGAUAAACCGUUUUAUGGUGGAUCUUUGGCGUAUCCUAUCCCUUACUCUUCUUUCAGAUAUGAAACAAAGUAAAUAAUAGCCGAGGCAACCAUCUAUAAAUCAUCAUUGUUUAGCUGCUUCCCCCCCCUAACAUGGGACGUAAGACAAUGAAAGUUUAAUUUGCUUUUAAUUUUCGUUUUGAAAAAAGUUUGUUAGAUAUGGUUCGCUUCCAACCUUCCUACUUUAAUAAACAAGUCGGAACUCCAGCUAGCAUAAAAUCUGUGGGAGAACUCUCAAAAUGCUUUGAAGAGUGACUGUAUCGAUUGAUUGAUUGAUUGAUGGGGUGAACUAGGUAGCUGUAUGAACUGAACCAUCCCUACUAUUAAGAGGUAUGAAAACGUACGCAUGUUAAGAGAAGCUCUAACUACAUUACCAUACUGUUAUGUACUACUCUUCUCCAAGCCAGAUCAUAGAACUUUCUAAAGAGCAUAGAUUUCAUUUAAUUUAUUUAUCAAGCUUUCUAACUACGUUCUUCGUGAACUUUUUUAUUACUGGGCCAUUUUAAAAAAAAAGAACUUCAUUACUAAACCAAACAAAAAAAAUACCAUAUAUGAUUUAUUUCUUCUCGUUCUUAUACUAUGUCUUAUACCAGGGAAACCAGUUAUUAUUUACUGCUUAACAAAUGCUAUUAGGGUUCAACGUUCUCGUUAGUAGAAACAUGAAAAAAAAAAUUUCGAUGCUGAUGCUGAUGCAAACAAACUGGGCAUAACUUUUAUUUAAUAGAAAAAUAAAUAAAUUAGUUCAUUGCCUCUUAUUGUUGGUUGGACCACAUGGCCUGACAAGCCUUUAGCUGUUCCAAAUAGUAAGAACAUUGACUGAACUCAUGCUCAUUUAUACAAUCUGCAAACAUUUUAGCAUCGCCCUUGCAAGCAUUCUUCGCCUCUUCAGAAAUAGCACUGCUGGCAAAGGUGGAUGGAGGUGCUGAACCAUAAGCGGCUUCUGGAACACUGUUGCUGUAACUAGAUUGAGGUACACUAGUAUCAGCUGGAGCAUUGUUGGAACCACUUCCAGAAAAACCGCCUGUUAUGACGCUGCCAACCGUGUGUCCGAUAGCACUUCCAAUACCAACACCAGCCGCUGUACUAACCAGAUUGCCGAAGAAUCCAGGUGAGCUGCCUCCUUGGACGGCGGUGGGAGGAGGAGCCUGUUGCACACGACUAGGAGCAGGAGGAGGUGCCAUUGUCCUAGGAGGUAAAGCAGCAGCAGUGGAAGCACUUCUGGCAGGAGCUGCACGGCGAGGAGGAGGUGCGGCAGAACGUCUACGAGGCAUCGUACUUAUUUAUGUGAAGAGAUGGAAAUGGGCAAAGGAAGUAAGAGAUAAACAAAAAAGGAUUAAAUUUUAUGAAAACUCGUUUACGAUAUCUGCAAAGGAAUACCGUCAAUGAAAGGAUAAACGAUAUACGAGUGUUUAAGAGGCAGAUGGCGGAGAGCACGAAUAUAUAUAGCGUUGCUAGAAGAAGCUGAAGAAAAUCGAUGAAUGGAGAGAAUCGUUCCGACCAAACAUCGUCUUCGCUAUAGCGGAUUGGAAGACAUGAGGUACAACUUGGAUAUUUGCACCACUCAAGUCGUAUAGACCAGAUGCCCUUGGGGUAACAGUUACCUAACAAUCCAAGCUGGUUUACUAAUACAAAUGGAUGCACAAGUUUUCAAUAAAGAAAGAAAAUUGCAACUUCCAUCACUUUCAAAACUUUUAUUUAUGAUUUUAUCUAUCAUUCUCAAUAAUCGUAAAUUUUGGACAC